AAGACAAACCGCAACUUCAGAGCCAGUGCAGUUUCUUUUGUGCACGGUGAGAUGGCUUCCCUGGCGGUGAAGGAUUCAGAGCUGAAAUGCUACACUGUCUGGAGCUCUAAUGACACGUCUCUUUCACUCAAACAGAGGUCGGCUGGCCAAAGGCACGCAGACAGAAGGACUCCCUGAAAGCAGGGGACUGUUCUUCAAAGUCUGGCUUACAGUAACAGCAUACUAUCUUGCUGAGUGGAUGUGGGGAGCAUGUGGAAAGGUGAAAUCAGAAAGGUCAACUGCAGCCAGGUCACGGCCGGCUGGCAUGGGGCUGGCCCGCACCGCACCUCAAGAAUCAAGAAUCCGACUUCUCCAGUAACAGUCUGAUUUCUCAGGUUGCCGUCACCACAUUCAGCCAAAAAUAAAACUGCGGCCUAUGA
Long non-coding RNA from Phyllostomus hastatus (greater spear-nosed bat), 419 nucleotides. RefSeq lists it as uncharacterized. The transcript is spliced from 2 exons. The record is from RefSeq and is a predicted model, not a curated record. Lineage: Eukaryota; Metazoa; Chordata; Mammalia; Chiroptera; Phyllostomidae.